This 349-nucleotide ribosomal RNA is filed under the name uncultured bacterium. RNAcentral's name for it is "bacterial SSU rRNA". It matches the Rfam family "Bacterial small subunit ribosomal RNA", at positions 162 to 507 of the family's 1533-position model. The record is from RNAcentral.
AUUAAUACCCCAUAAUGUAUUGAUAAGGCAUCUUAUUAAUAUUAAAGCUUCGGCACUUGAUGAUGGGUGUGCGGCUGAAUUAGAUAGUUGGCGGGGUAACGGCCCACCAAGUCUACGAUCAGUAGCUGAUGUGAGAGCAUGAUCAGCCACACGGGCACUGAGACGCGGGCCCGACUCCUACGGGAGGCAGCAGUAAGGAAUAUUGGACAAUGGACGAAAGUCUGAUCCAGCCAUGCCCGCGUGAAGGAUUAAGGUCCUCUGGAUUGUAAACUUCUUUUAUAUGGGACGAAAAAAGGGCAUUCUUGUUCACUUGACGGUACCAUAUGAAUAAGCACCGGCUAACUCCGUG